This 74-nucleotide transfer RNA is filed under the name Allobates aff. tapajos 1 AR-2020. RNAcentral's name for it is "tRNA-Leu". The record is from RNAcentral. Lineage: Eukaryota; Metazoa; Chordata; Amphibia; Anura; Aromobatidae.
GCUAAUGUAGCAAAACCCGGCCCCUGCUAAAGACCUAAGCUCUUUUCAUAGAAGUUCAAAUCUUCUCAUCAGCU